UGGGGAAUUUUGGGCAAUGGGCGAAAGCCUGACCCAGCGACGCCGCGUGAAGGAAGAAGGUCUUCGGAUUGUAAACUUCUGUCAACAGGGACGAAACAAAUGACGGUACCUGUGGAGGAAGCCACGGCUAACUACGUGCCAGCAGCCGCGGUAAUACGUAGGUGGCGAGCGUUAUCCGGAUUUACUGGGUGUAAAGGGUGUGUAGGCGGGGAGGCAAGUCAGAUGUGAAAACUAUGGGCUUAACCCAUAAAGUGCAUUUGAAACUGUUUCUCUUGAGGAUCGGAGGGGUAAAUAGAAUUCCCGGUGUAGCGGUGGAAUGCGUAGAUAUCGGGAGGAAUACCGGUGGCGAAGGCGAUUUACUGGACGAUUACUGACGCUGAGACACGAAAGCGUGGGGAGCAAACAGG
Molecule: ribosomal RNA, 407 nt
Filed under: uncultured bacterium
Lineage: Bacteria
Description: bacterial SSU rRNA
Rfam family: Bacterial small subunit ribosomal RNA
Source: RNAcentral